GAUGAACGCUGGCGGCGUGCCUAAUACAUGCAAGUCGAGCGAACGGACGAGAAGCUUGCUUUUCGGAUGUUAGCGGCGGACGGGUGAGUAACACGUGGAUAACCUACCUAUAAGACUGGGAUAACUUCGGGAAACCGGAGCUAAUACCGGAUAAUAUUUUGAACCGCAUGGUUCAAAAGUGAAAGACGGUCUUGCUGUCACUUAUAGAUGGAUCCGCGCUGCAUUAGCUAGUUGGUAAGGUAACGGCUUACCAAGGCAACGAUGCAUAGCCGACCUGAGAGGGUGAUCGGCCACACUGGAACUGAGACACGGUCCAGACUCCUACGGGAGGCAGCAGUAGGGAAUCUUCCGCAAUGGGCGAAAGCCUGACGGAGCAACGCCGCGUGAGUGAUGAAGGUCUUCGGAUCGUAAAACUCUGUUAUUAGGGAAGAACAUAUGUGUAAGUAACUGUGCACAUCUUGACGGUACCUAAUCAGAAAGCCACGGCUAACUACGUGCCAGCAGCCGCGGUAAUACGUAGGUGGCAAGCGUUAUCCGGAAUUAUUGGGCGUAAAGCGCGCGUAGGCGGUUUUUUAAGUCUGAUGUGAAAGCCCACGGCUCAACCGUGGAGGGUCAUUGGAAACUGGAAAACUUGAGUGCAGAAGAGGAAAGUGGAAUUCCAUGUGUAGCGGUGAAAUGCGCAGAGAUAUGGAGGAACACCAGUGGCGAAGGCGACUUUCUGGUCUGUAACUGACGCUGAUGUGCGAAAGCGUGGGGAUCAAACAGGAUUAGAUACCCUGGUAGUCCACGCCGUAAACGAUGAGUGCUAAGUGUUAGGGGGUUUCCGCCCCUUAGUGCUGCAGCUAACGCAUUAAGCACUCCGCCUGGGGAGUACGACCGCAAGGUUGAAACUCAAAGGAAUUGACGGGGACCCGCACAAGCGGUGGAGCAUGUGGUUUAAUUCGAAGCAACGCGAAGAACCUUACCAAAUCUUGACAUCCUUUGACAACUCUAGAGAUAGAGCCUUCCCCUUCGGGGGACAAAGUGACAGGUGGUGCAUGGUUGUCGUCAGCUCGUGUCGUGAGAUGUUGGGUUAAGUCCCGCAACGAGCGCAACCCUUAAGCUUAGUUGCCAUCAUUAAGUUGGGCACUCUAAGUUGACUGCCGGUGACAAACCGGAGGAAGGUGGGGAUGACGUCAAAUCAUCAUGCCCCUUAUGAUUUGGGCUACACACGUGCUACAAUGGACAAUACAAAGGGCAGCGAAACCGCGAGGUCAAGCAAAUCCCAUAAAGUUGUUCUCAGUUCGGAUUGUAGUCUGCAACUCGACUACAUGAAGCUGGAAUCGCUAGUAAUCGUAGAUCAGCAUGCUACGGUGAAUACGUUCCCGGGUCU
Molecule: ribosomal RNA, 1372 nt
Filed under: uncultured bacterium
Lineage: Bacteria
Description: bacterial SSU rRNA
Rfam family: Bacterial small subunit ribosomal RNA
Source: RNAcentral